GCUAGUGUAGUAUAGUGGUUAAAGUGAUGGACUAGGAUUCGGGAGACCUAGGUUUGCAUCCCUGGUUUGCCAUGGAAGCA
RNAcentral lists this transfer RNA (80 nucleotides) under Sphaerodactylus townsendi. Its description in RNAcentral is "tRNA-Pro". The record is from RNAcentral. Lineage: Eukaryota; Metazoa; Chordata; Lepidosauria; Squamata; Sphaerodactylidae.